CGGCAGCGGGAAAGUAGCUUGCUACUUUUGCCGGCGAGCGGCGGACGGGUGAGUAAUGCCUGGGGAUCUGCCCAGUCGAGGGGGAUAACUACUGGAAACGGUAGCUAAUACCGCAUACGCCCUACGGGGGAAAGCAGGGGACCUUCGGGCCUUGCGCGAUUGGAUGAACCCAGGUGGGAUUAGCUAGUUGGUGAGGUAAUGGCUCACCAAGGCGACGAUCCCUAGCUGGUCUGAGAGGAUGAUCAGCCACACUGGAACUGAGACACGGUCCAGACUCCUACGGGAGGCAGCAGUGGGGAAUAUUGCACAAUGGGGGAAACCCUGAUGCAGCCAUGCCGCGUGUGUGAAGAAGGCCUUCGGGUUGUAAAGCACUUUCAGCGAGGAGGAAAGGUUGGUAGCUAAUAACUGCCAGCUGUGACGUUACUCGCAGAAGAAGCACCGGCUAACUCCGUGCCAGCAACCGCGGUAAUACGGAGGGUGCAAGCGUUAAUCGGAAUUACU
This 501-nucleotide ribosomal RNA is filed under the name Aeromonas hydrophila. RNAcentral's name for it is "bacterial SSU rRNA". It matches the Rfam family "Bacterial small subunit ribosomal RNA", at positions 67 to 555 of the family's 1533-position model. The record is from RNAcentral. Lineage: Bacteria; Pseudomonadati; Pseudomonadota; Gammaproteobacteria; Aeromonadales; Aeromonadaceae.